CUCCCACACUUUGAGACCGACGCUGUGGACCCAAAAAGCCGGCAUAAGGGAAAGCUGGAGACAUAGAGCCUGCUGGAGACGAGCGACGUGAACUGGACGUCCAUCAGACCGGUCUACAUCUAUGGCCCUCUCAACUACAACCCCGUGGAGGAGUGGUUCUUCCACCGGCUCAAGGCUGGUCGCCCGAUCCCCAUCCCUAACGCUGGGAACCAGAUCACCCAGCUCGGCCAUGUCAAGGAUUUGGCGACGGCCUUCAUCAAGGUCCUCGGUUAUGGGAU
Hordeum vulgare subsp. vulgare (domesticated barley) is the source of this 278-nucleotide long non-coding RNA. RefSeq lists it as uncharacterized. The transcript has 3 exons. NCBI's taxonomy places the organism in Eukaryota, Viridiplantae, Streptophyta, Magnoliopsida, Poales, Poaceae. The record is from RefSeq and is a predicted model, not a curated record.